GACGAACGCUGGCGGCGUGCCUAAUACAUGCAAGUAGAACGCUGAAGGGAGAGCUUGCUCUUCUGGAUGAGUUGCGAACGGGUGAGUAACGCGUAGGUAACCUGCCUGGUAGCGGGGGAUAACUAUUGGAAACGAUAGCUAAUACCGCAUAACAUUGACUAUUGCAUGAUAGUCAAUUGAAAGGUGCAAAUGCACCACUACCAGAUGGACCUGCGUUGUAUUAGCUAGUUGGUGGGGUAACGGCUCACCAAGGCGACGAUACAUAGCCGACCUGAGAGGGUGAUCGGCCACACUGGGACUGAGACACGGCCCAGACUCCUACGGGAGGCAGCAGUAGGGAAUCUUCGGCAAUGGACGGAAGUCUGACCGAGCAACGCCGCGUGAGUGAAGAAGGUUUUCGGAUCGUAAAGCUCUGUUGUAAGAGAAGAACGAGUGUGAGAGUGGAAAGUUCACACUGUGACGGUAUCUUACCAGAAAGGGACGGCUAACUACGUGCCAGCAGCCGCGGUAAUACGUAGGUCCCGAGCGUUGUCCGGAUUUAUUGGGCGUAAAGCGAGCGCAGGCGGUUAGAUAAGUCUGAAGUUAAAGGCUGUGGCUUAACCAUAGUACGCUUUGGAAACUGUUUAACUUGAGUGCAGAAGGGGAGAGUGGAAUUCCAUGUGUAGCGGUGAAAUGCGUAGAUAUAUGGAGGAACNNCGGUGGCGAAAGCGGCUCUCUGGUCUGUAACUGACGCUGAGGCUCGAAAGCGUGGGGAGCAAACAGG
This 763-nucleotide ribosomal RNA is filed under the name uncultured Streptococcus sp. RNAcentral's name for it is "bacterial SSU rRNA". It matches the Rfam family "Bacterial small subunit ribosomal RNA", at positions 28 to 776 of the family's 1533-position model. Lineage: Bacteria; Bacillati; Bacillota; Bacilli; Lactobacillales; Streptococcaceae. The record is from RNAcentral.